RNAcentral lists this ribosomal RNA (1394 nucleotides) under uncultured organism. RNAcentral's name for it is "SSU rRNA". It matches the Rfam family "Bacterial small subunit ribosomal RNA". The record is from RNAcentral.
UGGCGCGGGAUUAGAGUUUGAUCCUGGCUCAGGACGAACACUGGCGGCGUGCUUAACACAUGCAAGUCGAACGGAAAGGCCCUGCUUUUGUGGGGUGCUCGAGUGGCGAACGGGUGAGUAACACGUGAGUWACCUGCCCUUGACUUUGGGAUAACUUCAGGAAACUGGGGCUAAUACCGGAUAGGAGCUCCUGCUGCAUGGUGGGGGUUGGAAAGUUUCGGCGGUUGGGGAUGGACUCGCGGCUUAUCAGCUUGUUGGUGGGGUAGUGGCUUACCAAGGCUUUGACGGGUAGCCGGCCUGAGAGGGUGACCGGCCACAUUGGGACUGAGAUACGGCCCAGACUCCUACGGGAGGCAGCAGUGGGGAAUAUUGCACAAUGGGCGGAAGCUGAUGCAGCAACGCCGCGUGCGGGAUGACGGCCUUCGGGUUGUAAACCGCUUUCGCCUGUKACGAAGCGUGAGUUACGGUAAUGGGUAAAGAAGCACCGGCUAACUACGUGCCAGCAGCCGCGGUGAUACGUAGGGUGCGAGCGUUGUCCGGAUUUAUUGGGCGUAAAGGGCUCGUAGGUGGUUGAUCGCGUCGGAAGUGUAAUCUUGGGGCUUAACCCUGAGCGUGCUUUCGAUACGGGUUGACUUGAGGAAGGUAGGGGAGAAUGGAAUUCCUGGUGGAGCGGUGGAAUGCGCAGAUAUCAGGAGGAACACCAGUGGCGAAGGCGGUUCUCUGGGCCUUUCCUGACGCUGAGGAGCGAAAGCGUGGGGAGCGAACAGGCUUAGAUACCCUGGUAGUCCACGCUGUAAACGGUGGGUACUAGGUGUGGGGUCCAUUCCACGGGUUCCGUGCCGUAGCUAACGCUUUAAGUACCCCGCCUGGGGAGUACGGCCGCAAGGCUAAAACUCAAAGGAAUUGACGGGGCCCCGCACAAGCGGCGGAGCAUGCGGAUUAAUUCGAUGCAACGCGUAGAACCUUACCUGGGUUUGACAUGGAUCGGGAGUGCUCAGAGAUGGGUGUGCCUCUUUUGGGGUCGGUUCACAGGUGGUGCAUGGCUGUCGUCAGCUCGUGUCGUGAGAUGUUGGGUUAAGUCCCGCAACGAGCGCAACCCUUGUUCACUGUUGCCAGCACGUUAUGGUGGGGACUCAGUGGAGACCGCCGGGGUCAACUCGGAGGAAGGUGGGGAUGACGUCAAGUCAUCAUGCCCCUUAUGUCCAGGGCUUCACGCAUGCUACAAUGGCUGGUACAGAGAGUGGCGAGCCUGUGAGGGUGAGCGAAUCUCGGAAAGCCGGUCUCAGUUCGGAUUGGGGUCUGCAACUCGACCUCAUGAAGUCGGAGUCGCUAGUAAUCGCAGAUCAGCAACGCUGCGGUGAAUACGUUCCCGGGGCUUGCACUCACCGCCCGUC